UGCAUUGGAGAAGGAAAUGGCAACCCACUCCAGUGUUCUUGCCUGGAGAAUCCCAGGGAAGGGGGAGCCUAAUGGGCUGUGUCUAUGGGGUUGCACAGAGUCGGACCCGACUGAAGUGACUUUACCUCUUUACUUUAGCAGAGCUCAGCUUUUGCCACUAGCUUUGUCCUUGGAGUGUCUGGGUGAGAACAAAGUUUCAGUUUUACUCCACUUGACAAACACCACCUGUCUGGCCCAGGGGCCCAUCUGUCUUGGGUCCUUAGGAGACUAUUUGGAAGUUUUGUGACAAUGUGUCUUGGGGUUAUCAGGUGAAAAGAGUCAACCUGUUACUGAAGAGCAAGUUUGUGAGCCUGGUGCAGUGAGGCCACACAAGCCAAAACAUUGGAGUUUGCAGCCAGGAAAGGUUUAUUGCAGCGUCACGUGAGGAUAAAGGGCGGCUCAUGCCCCUCAAACCUGGGACUCCCCAAAGGGUUGCAGCAAAGCAUUUUUAAAGGCAAGAUGAGGGAGGGGCAUGGUUGGUUGUUGCAAACUUCUUGGUCCACAUAAGCCAGAUCACAGUGUUCCUGUAAAGCUCCAACAAGACAAAUGUUACUCUGUUUGCGACUUUCUAUAUGAAUGGAAAAGUGUUAUGUCCUUAAAGGUCAGAGCCUUGAUAAUGGGCUAGCCUGUAUACAGGCUGUAUUCAGGCUAUCUGCAAUAUUUUAAACUCAAAAAGAAUACAAAAAUAGAAUACCUUUGUAUUCUAUUUGAGUUAUUAAUAAAAAGAUAUUCUAAAAGUAUUCUAAAGGUAAAAGAAACAGAUCUAAUAUGAAGUCAGAUAUGUUCUUCCCUAUUACAAAUCUUUCUCUCAUUGAUCCUAGGGAGGGGAUUUAGGACACUGGAAUUCUUUUAGGAGGCUCUGCUUUUAGACAAGGAGAAGGCAAUGGCAACCCACUCCAGUACUCUUGCCUGGAAAAUCCCAUGGACAGAGGAGCCUGGUAGGCUGCAGUCCAUGGGGUCACACAGAGUCGGACACGACUGAAGCGACUUAGCAGCAGCAGCUUUUAGACAGGUGAGGGAAUUCCAGGGCGGGGGCCGGGGGGAAGCUUAUUCUCCAAUGUCUUCAGUUCAAAAUUCUUGUGUGUCACAGUGUCUCCCUGUACCAGCGCCUGGCUGGCCUUCCCACUUCCUCUCUUAGUCUCUUCAGUCCCUUCUCCAUGCGCACCAAAGUGGUCAUUUCAGAAUGCAAAUAAGACUGUCACUCCCACCACAGGCCCCAUUCUGUUUCCUGCUUUGGACAGAUCCCACAGUUUCAAGGGUACAAACACAAAUCCCUGACAAACUGUGCUAUAUCCCAGUGCUGUGCCCUGCCCCCAUCAGUCCCAGACCUCUCUCACUGAGCUCCACCAGACUGGCAUUGAUUGCUUACACUGAUCAAUCCUUUCCCGAGAACUCCUCCUCUCCCCUGGGUCAUAGGGCUACUCUCACUUUCUCAGGGAGGCGCUCUAUCCUUCUGUGGUCAUUCCCCACAUGAUCAGCUCUCUGAGCCCCACAGGCCUUCCCCUCCCAGCACUGUGGCCGGGCAGGACUAGGUCGAAGCCAGUGCACAGUGCGUCUGUGUCGCCAGAAACUCGAGCAAGACCUGGCACGGGGUGGACGCUUAGAACAUUUGCUAUGAAUGAAUAAGGAAACGAGGUUGAGACAGUCUGGGACCUGAAACCAGGGACCCUUUGCUUCAGUGCUUGCCCCUGGACAGAGCAACAAAAUACAAAGGAAACUAUAAGAGACUAAAAGCAACCCAGCAUGCAUGGAUAAUUGGACAAAUCAUGAACAAGAUACAAAAAGACCAAAAACCCAACUGCCUCUUCUGAGGAGGCAGGAGCAAAAGCAGGGCACUGCGCAUGCACCCUGCACAUGGCACCAUCAGGACGCUGGGCAGACCACCUGAGCCGCCCUUCAGGCCUGAGCCCUCACCCGCCCUACCGCCACCCCAUAGAAGGAUCCCGCUUACCCCUCUCCAUCAGGGACCCGGCAGGGGGACCUCUUCCUUGUGUUUGCACCCUCCUGCUGCAACAGGAGUCCCAGCCUUGCCAACCUUUCUUGUCUGGCCUCUUACCAAUUUCUAUUACUAAGGAGCCAGGAAACUUUAUCAGUAACAUACUCUGCAAAGAGACACAGUCCCCUUCCUGGGAGAGGAUCUGGGCACCUCCAGGACUACCGAAUGCAGCAUCCUUUUGUGUGACAAGCAGCCUCCUGAACCUCUAGUUUCAGCAUCACCACACUUGAUAUAAGGAAACCCUUCCCGUCAAGCUAAUUAUAAUUUACAGCAAUUUGGCAAGUUACACCCCUAAGUAGAACUGAAACAUUCCCUCUACCUGAUCCCUCCAGAAACUGGAAACUAAGGUUCCCAGCAGCUUUAUCAGGUGAGGAUCAAAUGCCCCAUUGCCAGGAGCCACCACGGGAGAUCCCACCCAUGACAAGGUCAUGUGGAAGAGCCAUGACAAGUGAGGCGGAUCAUGGCUCAUACCCUCAUACCCUCAGGAUGACGGCUCAGGUGAAAGGAUAGCAAAGCAAAGAGAGAAGCUUGAUCUUCCUUGAUUAACACAGAAAGCCAAUAAAGCUCCUGUGUUCCAAGGAGUCAUCCUGAAAGAAGAACAGAGAGAGAAAAGGAGAGAAAAGGAAAAAAAGAACAACACGGGGAGACCAAGCUUUGGUCACAACAGAAGAACAAUACACCUGUGAGCCAGUGGAAAACCUGAAAUACCUAUUCAGAAGACAGGCACCAUUGACAGAUAAGUAAAAUGAUGUGGUGAAUUGGACUCCUACUUGCUGUUGUAACUCUUGUUUGCGUUCUACCAGUUGGCUUAGCCAACCCCGCCCAGGAAGUGGCUCUUUUGUCUGUGCUGGGUUUAAGGGAAACACUCCACCCCAGAAAUGCUUCCCCUACUGAAUCUGUCUGCUUUACCAGUCCCUGUAACUAAAGGACAAUGGCAAGAAAACUCACUCAUCAACAUUUCCAGAAUCAUAUCCAAAGCAGAACGUUUAAAAGAUGCUGGAUGUGCCAUCAACACCCCCAGCUGGCCACUGGGCCUCCUCUUGCAUUCUCCUGAAACUGCCAAUUCCAAUGGUAAUUAACAAUCUAAAUCAGGGACAAUUACCACCCACCCCAAACCUCUGCUGGUCACAUGUGCACCUUCCAGGAGGCUAUUCCAGUUCUUUAACCCGAGUCCCCCAUAUGGAGACACUAUGUUAAAAAUUGCACAAAUGGCAUUUCUUUCACAUGCCUCAAGAACCCUCCAAGAUAUAAAUACACCAGAUAUCCUGCCUCUUUUUUUUUUUAAUUUUUGGCUGGAUCUUCAUUGCUGUGCGGGCUUUUCUUUGGUUGCAUCGAGCAGGGGUUAUUCUGUAGUUAUGGUGUGCAGGCUUCUAAUUGCUGUGGCUUCUCUUGUUGCAGAGCACAGGCUCUGGGGCACACAGGCUUCAGCAGUUGCGGCCCAAGGGCUCAAUAGUUGCAGUUCUUGGGCUCUAAAGUAC
Molecule: long non-coding RNA, 3513 nt
Organism: Bubalus bubalis (water buffalo)
Lineage: Eukaryota; Metazoa; Chordata; Mammalia; Artiodactyla; Bovidae
Exons: 4
Source: RefSeq, a predicted model, not a curated record